Molecule: non-coding RNA, 1998 nt
Organism: Anas platyrhynchos (mallard)
Lineage: Eukaryota; Metazoa; Chordata; Aves; Anseriformes; Anatidae
Source: RefSeq, a predicted model, not a curated record
UUGCCCCAAAUGAUGAAAGGACAACGAGAUGGAGGAGACAAGUGUUUUCAGCUUACUCAGAGUGCCAUCAGCUGAUUAAAAACAAACAAACAAACAAACAAAACAAAACAAAACAAAAAACAGCAAAGGCAACAAUAACAAAAGGUUUGAAUAUAUCUGCAGCAAGCUAUGAUCAUUGUCAAAAAUAAAUUAAAAAAAAAAUCGAUAACAACAAUGUGCCAAUGUAGCAGACAGGCUUCAGUUCUGGGUAAUCAGCCUCCUGUCAGCUGUUAGUGAGUGAGGGUUGGCAGCCUUGCCCUCAGUGCUGAUGGACGACCCUAUAAAUCUGGAGAAAAGGGCCAGGUGUGGUUCUGAAGGGCCUUUUUUGUUCAGAGUGGCAGAAGAGAUGUCUCCAGGCGUGUACUGGAAGUAGGGCUGUGCCUUUGUCGAGUGCAGCCACAAAUGCAGACCUGGAGUGUCCGAUAGCAUGAGGCUUAAGCAGAGCAGCAGUCUUCAGAGAGCUGGUGUUUCGAUUGCUGUGGGAGGAUGGCAUUGACGGGGUGCCAGUGCUGUAGCUGGCACCAGCUAACCACUGCAUCUGUGGGCAAGGGAAUUGGUUUACAAAGGAGGAGCAGAAUAUCACCACAAGUGUGUGGGGCCUACCACUUUUGACACGGGGAGCUGUCAGGCCGCAGGGCCUGUGAAGCCUGGCUCUGGCACCAGAGGGCAUGCUGGCCUACACAGCUGCCUGGCGCUGCUUUGCUAACUAAAUCUACCUGAAAAUUUUCCACUGAAAUUAGUUUUCAAGGAAAUUCUUUGCUUUUUAUUAUUUAUUUUCCUUUAAGAAAUAGCUACCUUAUUAUGAAAGCCUUUGGAGAAGGUUCACUUACACUUUUUUUUUCCCAAAGCUUGCAGGUCUGCUGCAGGGGGUGAGGGGCUGAAACAUUUUUUAAGUUGCUUGGAAAAGUUCUGCAAAAACCUGUGGUUGCUCUUGUAUUUUUCGAGGGGAAGGAGGGGGGGAACACAGAGCAGAUCUAAUUGCAAAACCUGUGGGUUUUGUGACCCUCUCCUUGGGGGAGGAGAGGCUGAAAGAGACAGUGGGACGGGGUGAAGUUGAGAAGUAUGUGGAUGAUAAUCCUCUCCGUGGGAGCGCUCUGGCAGAGGGGCUGUCUGAGGAGCAGCUAUAUUACCAGCCGUCCUUUCCAAGGGAAAUGCUGGAGGGUGCCAAAGCAAACAGAGGCGUGAAGGCAGGUCCUGCACGCAGAGGGGUAGGUGCGGAGGCUCGCACUGCGGGGAUGGCAGCUGAUAAACAGCCGCACACAGGCGAGCACACACAGGCACGCACCGGGCAUCAGGCACCAGGGAAAACCCGGGGUGUUUUUCCACAGUAUUUGCCAGUUGGCAGCUGCAGAAGUACUUCGUAAACAUCAGCUGCUGAAGGUUAAAGCACACAGAAACUCAUCAUUUUGCAAGGCAGGAGAGGAGCACUGUUUCCCUUCUGCACGCAGGAGGCAGAGAUGGAAAGCCCUGCUCUAAAGCCCUGCUCUAAGUCAAUGCUUCUGUGUGCACGGUUAUUAGCUGCUCUGCUUUUCCAAGCUCAGUUCCUGCAGCUCCAAAUCACUUCACUUGGGAUGAAGGGAGCCAAUUUUAAUAUUUUUGGCAUAUAUGCCAUGUCUGGGCACUUGGCAGUGUUGGUGGCAGCACGGGGAGCAGCAGAGAUGGCCAGACUCCUGCCCCCCAGCAGGUUGUACGUUUGUAUGUCUGUCUGCAGAGGAGGGACAUGCAGAGAGCACUCUGGUCAAUACCAACUGUCUUGCAGACCCUGUGAGAUGAGGACUGGUUAUCUCCUAUUUAGCCUGGCAGCAAGCACCCUGGCUGUGUUCCACAAGCAGAAGUUAGAGCAAACCCUGCCAUGGCUGCUGCAGGCAAAAUGAGAGCUGAGCGUUCAGGGCCAGUCCCCCUCCUCGGCCUCUGCAGGGUCUGUCAGCUCGUCCAGUUGUGCUUAGGGUUUUUUUGUUU